RNAcentral lists this ribosomal RNA (478 nucleotides) under uncultured bacterium. RNAcentral's name for it is "partial 16S ribosomal RNA". It matches the Rfam family "Bacterial small subunit ribosomal RNA", at positions 28 to 523 of the family's 1533-position model. The record is from RNAcentral.
GACGAACGCUGGCGGCGUGCUUAACACAUGCAAGUCGAACGGUAAGGCCCUUCGGGGUACACGAGUGGCGAACGGGUGAGUAACACGUGGGUGAUCUGCCCUGCACUUCGGGAUAAGCCUGGGAAACUGGGUCUAAUACCGGAUAGGACUCCUGGCUUCAUGGUUGGGGGUGGAAAGAUUUUGCGGUGUGGGAUGGGGCCGCGGCCUAUCAGCUUGUUGGUGGGGUAAUGGCCUACCAAGGCGACGACGGGUAGCCGGCCUGAGAGGGUGACCGGUCACACUGGGACUGAGAUACGGCCCAGACUCCUACGGGAGGCAGCAGUGGGGAAUAUUGCACAAUGGGCGCAAGCCUGAUGCAGCGACGCCGCGUGAGGGAUGACGGCCUUCGGGUUGUAAACCUCUUUCAGCUAUGGCGAAGCGCAAGUGACGGUAGUAGCAGAAGAAGGACCGGCCAACUACGUGCCAGCAGCCGCCGUAA